AGCAGCUAUGUAAAAUUGAUUUUUGUUCUCAAUAUUUAGCACACAAUUGGAAAACAGGCUGCCUCAGAAACUCUGGUUCCCAAGUGGGUAGACUGAAUCAAUGAAGACUAAUCACUCUAUUUGAAUCAGAAAAUC
Oenanthe melanoleuca is the source of this 135-nucleotide small nucleolar RNA. RefSeq annotates it as small nucleolar RNA SNORA5. The record is from RefSeq and is a predicted model, not a curated record. Lineage: Eukaryota; Metazoa; Chordata; Aves; Passeriformes; Muscicapidae. The transcript has a single exon.